Carica papaya (papaya) is the source of this 1328-nucleotide long non-coding RNA. RefSeq lists it as uncharacterized. Lineage: Eukaryota; Viridiplantae; Streptophyta; Magnoliopsida; Brassicales; Caricaceae. The record is from RefSeq and is a predicted model, not a curated record.
GUGGUUAGAAAAAUGGAGGCAAAAACAUAAUAAGAGAAGUGGAGAGGGGAAAAGGAAAUCAGGAGAAUGGACAACCCAGAUCAAGUUUGUGAGAUCCAACGGGCCAAUGAGAUGGGUAUAUAAGGGAAGAGAUUAGGGUUUUUCUUCAUUUUUAGAGGAGAAACCGAAAAUGAGUGGGAAAAAGAGAGAGUCGAUAAGUGAGAGGGAAGAGAGGAGAUCUAUCGAGCAAGGGGGAGCCAAGAAGAAAAAAAAAGGAGAGGAAAUGAAGAGGGAGGCCAGAAAGAAGAAGGGAAAGGAGAGAAAAAAGAGGAAAGAGAAUAAAAGAAAGGAGGGACCGAGCGGGAAAGAGAAGGGGAGCCAGAGAGCGACCGUCGCGAGGGAAGAAGAAAAGAAAAAAGGGGCAGAGGCAGAAGAGUGUGGAAGUUGAACUAAAAGGAAGAAGGAGGAAAAGGGAACGACUCGAGAUGCCGUGUGACAGCGGAGACUGAGGCAAGCGAGGUGUAAAAAUCAUCAAUCCAAUUGCAAGUACGCAAGGAAGCCGUGGGGUGAUCGAGAGGAGGCGACUGAGAGCCAAGUCGAGGCCAAAUCUCCCACGCCAAAAAGUAAAAUGAUUUUUUUCAUGUUUUGGUGGUGGUUAAGCGACAAUGGGGCAGGACUGGUGUCGGGCUGGCCACAUGGGCUCGGUUGGGCCACCCACCCGCACUGGAACCGAGGAGAUUUCCUCAAGAAUGGGCAAAGCCGACCCAUUCAGGAAGUUGAAGGGUCUUCCCCGAGCAUGGGAACCUGAUCCACCAUUUUGGGAUUUAGAUUUACCGUUUGGGAAGCUAAAAAGUCUUCUUCAGGAAACGAAAAUCCGAUUUGCCGUCUGAGAAGCUGAAAAGUCUUUCUCAUAAAAUGAAAAUCUGAUUCAGCAAACAGGGAGCCGAAAGAUUUUUCGGGUACAGAUCCCAAUAAUUUCAGGUAUUCCGUUGGGUGGUCGUUGGAACCCGUAAUUUGAUUAAAUUAAUUUUUAGUAUUUCGAAGUAUUUUAAUUAAAUUAUAUCGUGUGUAUAAGAAAAUUUGGACAUUCAGGCGGAUAUGAAAAGAUACGUAGGAGUGUAAUUAUUUCUAAAUCUCAACCGGCUUUUGAAUUUCAAAAGGUGCAUUUAUUUUAUAAAAAUUAUUAAUUUUGAAAUUUAAACGGACAUUAACCCAAUUUUUGAUAGAAAAACAAAACCCAAAUUAUGAUUGGUAAACUUAAACAAUUAGAACCUUAUAAGUAGACAAAACCAGAAAAGAGACCCAAUGUACUGAGAGUUAUUUGGAUUGAUGAAAUAUAAAAUUGAAAA